ACGACGACGUUGGUUGAUAGGCCGGGUGUGUAAGCGCAGCGAUGCGUUGAGCUAACCGGUACUAAUGAACCGUGAGGCUUAACCUU
This 86-nucleotide ribosomal RNA is filed under the name Salmonella enterica. RNAcentral's name for it is "partial 23S ribosomal RNA". It matches the Rfam family "Bacterial large subunit ribosomal RNA", at positions 2841 to 2925 of the family's 2925-position model. The record is from RNAcentral. Lineage: Bacteria; Pseudomonadati; Pseudomonadota; Gammaproteobacteria; Enterobacterales; Enterobacteriaceae.